GGGGAUUUAGCUUAGUGGCAUAAGCGCCUGCCUUGCGAGCAGGCAGUUGUGAGUUCGAUCCCUG
Molecule: transfer RNA, 64 nt
Filed under: Cavia porcellus (domestic guinea pig)
Lineage: Eukaryota; Metazoa; Chordata; Mammalia; Rodentia; Caviidae
Rfam family: tRNA
About the family: Transfer RNA (tRNA) molecules are approximately 80 nucleotides in length. Their secondary structure includes four short double-helical elements and three loops (D, anti-codon, and T loops).
Source: Rfam by way of RNAcentral